RNAcentral lists this non-coding RNA (30 nucleotides) under Homo sapiens (human). The record is from RNAcentral. Lineage: Eukaryota; Metazoa; Chordata; Mammalia; Primates; Hominidae.
UGGGAACGAGAUGACACUCGUGGAGGCGUC